AAUUAUUUAAUUGUAAGUUGUAACAACCCACAUCUGAUAUGGUGUAAAGUAACCUCACAAAUGAGCUACCAUCACGAACACAAAAGCAUAUGCUCUAAUUUACCAUGUAUUUAGGAGGUCGUCGUAUAAAUAUUAUUGUAAUGACCAAUUUUAUUUUUCUCUCUAUCACAAUGGCCGUUAAUAAUCGCGUUCUUUUAUAUUUUGCUUCAAAUAUUCAAUAUUCUUCAAACGUUAAUAUUACAAUGUCUCCAAAGAUACUUAAUACAAAAUGAUCUAAAAUCUAAAAUUUUCAAUUCAUUCACCCAACCCAUCUCGUACUAUUCGAACUCCCACGUCAACCUGAAAAAUAAAUUAAGUAGGAAAAUAUACAAGCCGACGAGAAUAUGCUCAAUUCAAAAUAGCUCAAUAAUAAAUCUAGAAGAACUCAACAAAUCAUCAAUUCGUGAAGGACCUCAUACUUGGUUUUUCCUAGUACAUUACUGGUGGCCGGCCUCACCUACGUCUAUUAGCUCUUUUGGCUUUUUCAAUCCUUAAUAGAGUUAUUGGUGGUCCACUCAGUAAAUGUAUCAAUCCAUUCUAUAACAUUUAUCCAUCAUAUAAUAAUAUCAUACAUAACAUGAUUUCAAUAAAAUACCAUGGAUUUCAACAGAUAGCACACAUGCUUAAGAAGAAUACAAAAUUGGAUAUUUUAUAAAAGUACUUCAGAAUUUAGAAAGUAUAUGGUCUACCUCAAGUUUACCUCAAAUUGAUAUCGACACCAUUAGAUAUGUUUCUAUGUCCGCCAGAAAUAAUAUACUAAAAUUUUACCUCGAUCGGAUAUCAUUUCACUGUUGACUCUACGUCUUAUCUCUCAUGAUCAUAUCUGACUACACCAUAUAAUUUCUCAAGUCUCCUAUUUUUCCUUUCUAUCUUUCUUUCCCCUCUCUCUCCGUCCUUGCUCUAUCUCUCUCCCCCACUAUUUUCUUU
This 966-nucleotide long non-coding RNA is filed under the name Actinidia chinensis (golden kiwifruit). RNAcentral's name for it is "long non-coding RNA (ACHI_LNC003589)". Lineage: Eukaryota; Viridiplantae; Streptophyta; Magnoliopsida; Ericales; Actinidiaceae. The record is from RNAcentral.